GUUUUUUUUUGUUAGUUUAGUUUUUCUCUUUCGUAUUUUCUUUUCUUUUAUUUACUUACUUUUCUAUUUUAAAUCAUUUUAAAUUAUUUAGGCCUUUUAUAAAAAUGUGUUUACUACACCAUAUUUAUCUAUGUAAUGUUUAGUACAACCCGAACAUUUUUAUUUUAAUGUUUGAAUAUUUUCAUUAUUUACCAAACUUUGAAUUUGAAUUUUGGACCGGUUUUGAUCUAACAAUAGAUUAGCAGCAGUAACCGUGGUGACGUGGCACCAUUAGCAUGGGAUCACUGUAGCUUAAUUAUCUGGGCGUCACAUCAAUGACAUCCAAUGUCCAUGGUCAGGAAACCAUGACCAUCUGUUGAUCAAUGAGCUAGUCAACUAGAGGCUCACUAGGGACAUGUUGUGGUCUAUGCAUUCACACAUGUAUUACGGUUUCCAGUUAAUACAAUUAUAGCAUGAACAAUAGACAAUUAUCAUGAACAAGGAAAUACAAUAAUAACCAUUUUAUUAUUGCCUCUAGGGCAUAUUUCCAACAGUCUCCCACUUGCACUAGAGUCAAUAAUCUAGUUCACAUCACUAUGUGAUUGUAAUGAAUCAACACCCAUGGGGUUUGAUCAUAUCUUGCUUGUGAGAGAGGUUAUUAGUCAACGAAUCUGAACCUUUCAGAUCCGUGUGUGCUUUGCAAAUCUCUAUAUCAUCUCCUAGAUGCACCUACCACGCUCUAUUUGGAGCUAUUCCAAAUAACUGUUCUACUAUACGAAUCCAGUUUACUACUCAGAAUAAUCCGGAUUAGUGUCAAAGUUUGCAUCGGCGUAACCCUUUACGACGAACUCUUUUACCACCUCCAUAAUCGAGAAAAUUCCUUAGUCCACUAGCUACUAAGGAUAAGUUUGACCAUUGACCUGUGAUCCAUUCCUGGAUCACUCUUGUAACCCUUGACUGACUCAUGGCAAGGCAUACUUCAGGUGCGGUACACAGCAUAGCAUACUAUAGAGCCUACGUCUGAAGCAUAGGGGACGACCUUCGUCCUUUCUCUCUCUUCUGCUGUGGUCAUGUCUUGAGUCUUACUCAAUAUUCACACCUUAUAACACAGCCAAGAACUCCUUCUUUGCCGAUCUAUUUUGAACUCCUUCAAAAUCUUGUCACGGUAUGUAUUUAUUUGAAAGUACUAUUAAGCGUUUUUGAUCUAUCCUUAUAGAUCUUGAUGCUCAAUGUUCAAGUAGCUUAAUCCAGGUUUUCCAUUGGAAAACACUUUUCAAAUAACCCUAUAUGUUGUCCAAAAAUUCUACAUCAUUUCUGAUCAACAAUAUGUUAAUAACAUAUACUCAUCAGAAAUUCUAUAGGGCUCCCAGUCACUUCUUUUGAAAUACAAGUUUCUCAUAAACUUUGUAUAAACCCAAAAUCUUUGAUUAUCUCAUCAAAGUGUAUAUUCCAACUCCAAGAUGCUUACUCCAAUCCUUAGAAGGAUUCCUGGAGCUUUGCAUACUUGUUAGCAUCUUAUAGGAUUGACAAAACCUUUUGGUUGUACAUAUACAACCUUUCCUCAAAAAUCGUCGAGGAAACAAUGUUUUGACAUCCUAUCUGCAAGAUUUCAUAAAUAAUGCAGUAACUGCUAAUAUAAUUCCAACAGACUCUUAGCAUCGCUACGAGUGAGGAAGUCUCAUCAUAGUCAACUCCUUCAACUUGUCGAAAAACAUCUUAGCGACAAGUCGAGCUUUCUUAAUGGUGACACUUACCAUCAUUGUCUGUCUUCCUUUUAAAAUCCAUCUGUACCCAAUAGCCUUACGACCAUCAAGUAAUUCUUCCAAAGUCCACACUUUGUUCUCAUACAUGGAUCCUCUCUCGAAUUUUAUGACCUCGAGCCAUUUGUCGGAAUCCGGGCCCACCAUCGCUUCUCCAUAGCUCGUAUGUUCAUUGUUGUCUAGCAACAUGACCUCCAAGACAGGAUUACCGUACCACUCUGAAGCAGUACCUCUCCUUGUCGUCCUACGAGGUUUGGUAGUGACUUGAUCCGAAGUUUCAUGAUCACUAUCAUCAACUUCCACUUCAAUUGGUGUAGGUGCCACAGGAACAACUUCAUGUGCCCUGCUACACACUAGUUGAAGUGAUGGUUCAAUAACCUUAUCAAGUCUCCACCAUCCUCCCACUCAAUUCUUUCGAGAGAAACUUUUCCUCGAGAAAGGACCCAUUUAAGAAACAAUCACUUUUGCUUCCAGAUCUAAAAUAGGAGGUAUACCUAACUGUUUUGGGUGACCUAUGAAGAUGCAUUUAUCCGUUUUGGGUUCGAGCUUACUAGGAUGAAACUUUUUCACAUAAGCAUCGCAGCCCCAAACUUUUAAGAAACGACAGCUUAGGUUUCUCUAAACCAUAGUUCAUACGUUGUCAUCUCAACGGAAUUACGUGGUGCCCUAUUUGAAGUGAAUGCGGUUGUCUCUAAUGCCUAACCCAUAAACGAUAGUGGUAAUUUGAUAAGAGACAUCAUGGUAUGCACCAUAUCCAAUAGGGUGCAGCUAUGAUGUUCAGACACACCAUCACACUAUGGUGUUCCAACCGGUAUUAGUUGUGAAACAAUUUCCACAAUGUCUUAAUUGUAUACCAAACUCAUAACUCAGAUACUCAUCUCUAUGAUCAUAUCAUAGACAUUUUAUCCUCUUAUCACAACGAUCUUCAACUUCACUUUGAAAUUACUUGAACCUUUCAAUAAUUCAGACUUAUGUUUCAUCAAGUAAAUAUACUCAGCAUCUACUCAAAUCAUCUGUGAAGUAAGAACAUAACGAUAUCCACUGCGUGCCUCAGCACUCAUUGGACUGCAUACAUCAAAAUGUAUUACUUCCAACAAUUUGCUUUCUUGUUCCAUCUUAGUGAAAACGAGGCUUUUCAGUCAUCUUGCCCAUGUGGUAUGAUUUCCAUGUCUCAAGUGAGUCCAAAUGAUCCAUCUGCAUGGAGUUUCUUCAUGCAUACAUACUAAUAGACAUGGUUCGCAUGUCUCAAACUUUUCAAAAAACGAGUGAGUCCAAAAGAUCCAUCAACAUGGAGCUUCUUCAUGCGUUUUAUACCAAUAUGACUCAAAUGGCAGUGCCACGAGUAAGUGGUACUAUCAUUACUAUCUUAUAUCUUUUGGCAGAACAUGUGUAUCACUACGAUCGAGAUUCAAUAAACCAUUCAUUUUAGGUGCAAGACCAUUGAAGGUAUUAUUCAAAUAAACAGAGUAACCAUUAUUCUCCUUAAAUGAAUAACUGUAUUGAGAUAGACAUAAUACAAUCAUGUCUAUGCUCAACGCAAACACCAAAUAACAAUUAUUUAGGUUUAACACCGAUCCCGAUGGCAGAGGGAGCAUGCGAUGUUUGAUCACAUCAACCUUGGAAAUACUUCCAACACAUAUCGUCACCUCGCCUUUAGCUAGUCUCCGUUUAUUCCAUAGCCUUUUAUUUCGAGGUACUAACACUUAUCAACUGAACCGAUAUCUAUUACCAUGGUGCUACUAGGAGUACUAGUAAAGUACACAUCAAUAUAAUGUAUAUCCAAUAUACUCCUAUCGACCUUGCCAGCCUUCUCAUCUACCAAGUAUCUAGGGUAGUUCUGCUUCAGUGACUGUUCCCCUCAUUACAGAAGCACUUAUUCUCGGGUUUGGGUUCGACCUUGGGUUUCUUCACUAGAUCAGCAACUGAUUUGCCAUUUCAUGAAGUAUCCCUUCUUGCCCUUGCCCUUCUUGAAACUAGUGGUUUCAUCGACCAUCAACAAUUGAUGCUCCUACUUGAUUUCUACUUUCGCGGUGUCAAACAUCGCGAAUUGCUCAAGGAUCAUCGUGUCUAUCCAUGAUAUGUUAUAGUUCAUCAUGAAGCUCUAAUAGCUUGUUGGCAGUGACUAUGGAGAACCAUCACUAUCUCAUCUGGAAGAUUAACUCCCACUCAAUUCAAGUGAUUGUAGUACUCAGACAAUCUGAGCACAUGCUCAACAAUUGAUCUUUUCUCCCUUAGUUUGCAGGCUAAGAAACUCGUCGGAGGUCUCAUACCUCUUGACGUGGGCACGAUCCUGAAAUCCCAAUUUCAGCCCUUGGAACAUCUCAUAUGUUCCGCGACGUUUCAAAAAACGUCUUCGGCGCCACAAUUCUAAACCGUUUAACAUUACUGAACUAUCAUGUAGUCAUCAAAACGUGUAUGUCAGAUGUUCGCAACAUCCACAGACGACGCUCGAGGUUCAGCACACCGAGCGGUGCAUUAAGGACAUAAGCCUUAUGCGUAGCAAUGAGGACAAGCCUUAGUUUACGGACCCAGACCGCAUAAUUGCUACUAUCAACUUUCAACUAUAUUUUCUCUAGGAACAUAUCUAAAAAAGUAGAACUAAAACGCGAGCUACGACAUAAUUUGCAAAGACCUUUUGUCUAUGUUCAGGAUAAUUAAGUUCAUCUAAUGAACUCCCACUCAGAUAGACAUCCCUCUAGUCAUCUAAGUGAUACAUGAUCCGAGUCAACUAGGCCGUGUCCGAUCAUCACAUGAGACGGACUAGUCAUCAUCGGUGAACAUCUUCAUGUUAAUCGUAUCUACUAUACGACUCAUGUGCGACCUUUCGGUCUCUUGUGUUCCGAGGCCAUGUCUGUACAUGCUAGGAUCGUCAAGUCAACCUAAGUGUUUCGCGUGUGUAAAUCUGGCUUACACCCGUUGUAUGUGAACGUUAGAAUCUAUCACAGCCGAUCAUCACGUGGUGCUUCGAAACAACGAUAUUUCGCAACGGUGCACAGUUAGGGGGAACACUUGCUUGAAAUUUUAGUGAGGGAUCAUCUUAUUUAUGCUACCGUCGUUCUGAGCAAAUAAGAUGUAAACAUGACAAACUUCACAUGCAAAUCAUAAAGUGACAUGAUAUGGCCAUCAUCAUCUUGCGUCGUUGAUCUCCAUCUUUGAGGCGCGGCAUGAUCACCUUCGUCACCGGCAUGACACCAUGAUCUCCAUCAUCAUGAUCUUCAUCAUCGUGUCUCCAUGAAGUUGUCUCGCCAACUAUUACUUCUACUACUAUGGCUAACGGUUAGCAAUAAAGUAAAGUAAUUACAUGGCGUUGUUCAAUGACACGCAGGUCAUACAACAAAUUAAGACAACUCCUAUGGCUCCUGCCGGUUGUCAUACUCAUCGACAUGCAAGUCGUGAUUCCUAUUACAAGAACAUGAUCAAUCUCAUACAUCACAUAUCAUUCAUCACAUUCUUUUGGCCAUAUCACAUCACAUAGCAUACCCUGCAAAAACAAGUUAGACGUCCUCUAAUUGUUGUUUACAUGUUUUACGUGGCUGCUAUGGGUUUCUAGCAAGAACGUUUCUUACCUACGCAAAAGCCACAACGUGAUAUGCCAAUUGCUAUUUACCCUUCAUAAGGACCCUUUUCAUCGAAUCCGAUCCGACUAAAGUGGGAGAGACUGGCACCCGCUAGCCACCUUAUGCAACAAGCGCAUGUCAGUCGGUGGAACCUGUCUCACGUAAGUGUACGUGUAAGGUCGGUCCGGGCCGCUUCAUCCCACAAUACCGUCGAAACAAGAUAGGACUAGUAACGGUAAGCAUAUUGAAAAAAUCAACGCCCAGAACAACUUCUGUUCUACUCAUGCAUUGAAUCUACGCAAUAGACCUAGCUCAUGAUGCCACUAUUGGGGAACAUAGCAGAAAUUCAAAAUUUUCUACGCAUCACCAAGAUCAAACUAUGGAGAUUCUAGCAACAAGAGAGAGAGGGAGUGCACCUUCAUACCCUUGAAGCUCGCUCAGCGGAAGCGUUACAAGAACGCAGUCGGUGGAUUCGUUCACGAAGCGAUUCACAUCGCGGCCGAAUCCGAUCUAAGCACCGAAUAACGGUGCCUCCGCGUUCAACACAUGUACAGCCCGGGGACGUCUCCUCCUUCUUGAUCUAGCAAGGGGAGAGGAGAAGUUGAGGGAGAACUCCGACAGCACGACGGCAUGGUGGUGAUGGAGCUCGUGGUUCUCCGACAGGGCUUUGCCAAGCACUACGGAGGAGGAGGAGGUGUUGGAGGAGGGAGAGGGCUGCGCCAGGGGAAGCUUGUGGAUGCCCUCUCUCUCCAUCACUAUAUAUAGGGGGAAGGGAGGAGGGGGAGGCGCCCUAGGGUUCCCUAGGGGAGGGGCGGCGGCCACAGGGGAAACCCUAGAUGGGUUUGGGCGCCCCCACCCCCUAGGAAACUUGCCCCCCAAGCCGGGAGGGGCGGCUGCCCUAGGGGUGGCGCCCCCACCUCUCCUGGUUACGUGAGAUGGGAUGGGAGGGGCGCUCAGCCCCUUAGUUGGCUGAUGUGCCCUCUCCCCUUGGCCCAUAAGGCCCCGCAACGCUUGGCGGGGCCUCCGAAACCCCUUUCGGACACGCUGGUCAUCACCUGGUACCCCCGGAACAAUUCCGGACUCCAAUACCCUUCGUCCAAUAUACCGAUCUUCACCUCCGGACCAUUUCGGAGCUCCUCGUCAUGUCCGGGAUCUCAUCCGGGACUCCGAACAACCUUCGGUAACCACAUACUAUUUCCCAUAACAACUCUAGCGUCACCGAACCUUAAGUGUGUAGACCCUACGUGUUCGGGAACCAUGCAGACAUGACCGAGACGUUCUCCAGUCAAUAACCAACAGCGGGAUCUGGAUACCCAUGUUGGUUCCAACAUGUUCCACGAUGAUCUCAUCGGAUGAACCAUGAUGUCAAGGAUUCAAGCAAUCCCGUAUGCAAUUCCCUUUGUCAAUCGGUACGUUACUUGCCCGAGAUUCGAUCGUUGGUAUCCCAAUACCUCGUUCAAUCUCGUUACCGGCAAGUCACUUUACUCGUUCCGUAAUGCAUGAUCCCGUGACUAACUACUUAAUCACAUUGAGCUUAUUAUGAUGAUGCAUUACCGAGUGGUCCUAGAGAUACCUCUCCGUCAUACGGAGUGACAAAUCCCAGUCUCGAUUCGUGCUAACCCAACAGACACUUUCGGAGAUACCUGUAGUGCACCUUUAUAGUCACCCAGUUACGUUGUGACUAUCGGCACACCCAAAGCACUCCUAUGGUAUCCAGGAGUUACACAAUCUCAUGGUCUAAGGAAAUGAUACUUGACAUUAGAAAAGCUUUAGCAAACGAACUACACGAUCUUGUGUUAUGCUUAGGAUUGGGUCUUGUCCAUCACAUCAUUCUCCUAAUGAUGUGAUCCCGUUAUCAAUGACAUCCAAUGUCCAUGGUCAGGAAACCAUGACCAUCUGUUGAUCAACGAGCUAGUCAACUAGAGGCUCACUAGGGACAUGUUGUGGUAUAUGCAUUCACACAUGUAUUACGGUUUCCAGUUAAUACAACUAUAGCAUGAACAAUAGACAAUUAUCAUGAACAAGGAAAUACAAUAAUAACCAUUUUAUUAUUGCCUCUAGGGCAUAUUUCCAACACCCCUUUCCUUCUCCUUCUCCCUUCCCCCUUUCCUACUCCGUGUGGGAGGUGGAAUCCUACUAGGACUAGGGAGUCCUAGUAGGACUCCACACCUUGGCGCGCCCCCUUAGGGCCGGAUGCCUCUCCCUCUCCCUCCUUUAUAUACGGGGGCAGGGGGCACCCUAGAACACACAAGUUGAUCUUUUAGCCGUGUGCGGUGCCCCCUCCACAGUUACACACAUCGCUCAUAUCGUCGUAAUGCUUAGGCGAAGCCCUGCGUCGGUAACUUUAUCAUCACCAUCGCCACGUCAUUGUGCUGAUGAAACUCUCCCUCGACCUCAACUGGAUCAAGAGUACAAGGGACGUCAUCGAGCUGAACGUGUGCUGAACGCGGAGGUGACGUACGUUCGGUGCUUGGAUCGGUUGGAUCACGAAGAUGCUCUGAGCUCGGUAGCGAGUUGUCUCUCCUCUCCACCGCCGCUUCAUUGGCUGCCAAGAUCUGUGUGUCCGCUGUGCCAUCCCUGUUAGGUAACUGAUGUAAAUAUCAUACAGCCUCUGGAUUACACUCACACGAGAUGUGGCAGACUACUGGUACGAUAUACACUUGGGGAAAAGAAGAAAAGAAACAGGUAGUCGGGUGCCAUGUCGUUGCCUUGAUCCAAGCCCACAUGCCUCCUCCUAUGAUACUCUGCGCUUAAGUAGUAUUGUCCCACUCCGGGCCCACAAACCCGCAGUUGGUGUGGCGAAUCCUAGUUGGCUUAGCGAUGACACGUCCUUCGCCUUGAUUUGUCCACUUGUCUGCCAAUGUGGCCCGGUCGGCUUCCAUGACAGUGCCUUUGCCUUUCGCUGCUAGGGAAGAAGUUUCACCGUCUCGCGGUCUAUAGUUUGGAUGCUGACAUCCCCUCCUCCUUGACUUGCAGCUUGCCCCCAAGCCAGGAGAUGAGGUGAACAAGAUUGUAAAUCACUGGCAACAUACGAGGUCUUGCUCUCGGCGCCCUGUAGGUGUUUGGCGCCAUCUUGUUUGCAAGAUCUCCACCGGAGUGAGAGCAGCUUGUGGCCACACUGGUAGAGUCAAAGAAGUUGUUGUUCCUGGAGAUAGAGCUUGUCGUAGCCGAGAGACAUGAAAAACUGGCUGAACUUGCGAACCUGGUGGUAGUGUGAGCUCAUAAGCGACCGGGUUGAUAGCUCUCAAUACUUGGAAUGGUCUGAAGUAUUUAAAUGACAGCUUGUGGUUGGCUCUGCGGUGAACUGAAGAUUGUACAUAUGGCUGGAGCUUGAUGUAAACCUCGUCGCCAGGUUGAAAGGAUUGGUCAGUGCAUUUCUUAUCUGCUUGCACCUUCAUGAUGUGGCGAGCUCGAUGUAGGUGCUGCUUAAGGACUUGCUGCAUGGUUCUUAUUUCCUCCAGCCAUUCCUUCAGAGCAAGGCUCUUACAAGUAGAUGCAGUUUCAAUACCCUAGUGCCUGGGCUCAUGGCCAUACUGAGCAUGGAAUGGUGACAUGUCUAAAGCGGAAUGGUAGCUCGAGUUAUACCAAAAUUCAGCCAGUUCCAGGAAUUGACUCCAAUGGUUUGGGUAGGCAUGGAUGAAGCAAUGAACAUAUAUCUCCAAGCAAUUGUUGACACUCUGGUCGUCCGUCUGCUGAUGAUACGGUGUGAUCAUAUUCAGUUCUGUCCCAAUGAUCUUGAACAAUUCCUGCCAGAAUCUGUUGGUAAACACUGGAUCUCGACUUGAGAUAAUUGCCUUAGGGAGUCCGUGCAGCUUGUAAACAUUAUCCAAUAAGCUCGAGCGACCUUAGCUGCCGUGAAAGGAUGAUUCAGUGGCAGAAAAUGAGCAUACCGUGUGAACUUAUCCACAACGACGAGGAUGCAAUUGGCCCUAUUGGAUUGUGAGAGGCCAUCAACUUCUUUGAAAGUUGGAAACUACUCAUGAGUACGAACUGGCCUAACAAGUCCAAUCCUUUCGUCCAAAGCAAACAUGUCCAUUUUGUCGGUCUCUAUGUUGUGUGUUUGAAACUUAGCACCAGUUGCCUGGCAGGGGACGUUAAAACUCCAAAGAACUCUCAAGUAGCAUCGACACGACAAAUUUAGCUAAAGGACGCAAAUUUUCCUCCUGCAUGCAGUUUAAUGCUAGACAAGUGGUUCUUCUCUUCAUUGUACUAAAAAAUUUAACAUUAAAAUUUUCUAAAUAUUUAUACCAAACUUUUUUACUUUGUCAUAAAUCAUUUUACUAUCAAAUGCAUAUUGUUUUUAGCGAAAUAGACUUUAAUAUACUAUUGUAGAUACUAACUUGAGGUAUAGAGUGAAAGUACAACAAUGAUUUCAAUAACUUAUUAAAUAUUCUUAUUUACUAGCAGAUGCUUCAACAACUAGCAUAGAUACUAAUUUGUUGGUCUACUUUGCAGGUGAUCGGCCAAACAUAAUUGGUUGUUUCUUGUUGUAAGUGAAUGCAACAAAAUGAUCCUUCAUUUCUAAAUUUAUAAUUACAAAUGCCUUUUCUAGUGCUAAAAUGAAACUAUAUAUUGUCAAAAAAAAUAUUAAAAUUAAGAUUUUUUUAAAAACAUUUUUGUAUGAUGUAUUUCACUAUAAAUAUAGGCAAACAUAUAUUAUCACAUUACUCCACAAAUUAAUGCAUGCCCCUUUAUUUAUAGUUUUUAUACUCUUUUUCUCCACAAUAUCUAUAAAUAUCUACACUACUUGGUAGAGUAUUUUGGAGUGUAUGAAUUUAGCAAAACAUGCAUUGGGUUUGUAGAGUGCACGAUUGUGAUUUUAUCUUUUUAAUAGCUAAUUCAAAAUUGUAUGAAGUGUCAUCAGUAGUUUGUCCUAAAAUCCCAUUAUUUCCUCUCGCUUGUUGGUUAUGCUUGAUGCCAAGUUGUAAGGAAACCUAAGGUCCUAAGACCUAGUUCGGUUGCAUCGUAUUUUUAUGACCAUGCUAAUGUGAAACCUCGGCAUUCGAAUGGCCGACCAAUGGAUACUCUAGUUUAUAAGAAAACAUAAUUCUCUAAGUUUGUUUUAGGAAAAAAAGGAUCCAAACCUCAUUUUAAAAUAUUAUGAAAUAAUAAACUAUUGGAGAUACCACCGUUUAUAAAACUGUGAUAUUUGUGAUGCCAAACACAUCAAAGUUUUUAAAGCUACGGUUUCUAAAAACAACCACGGUAUUAAUAAAAAAACACUAAAAAAUACUUAUCUGCCAAACAUAACAUAAGUGGAUUUUGGUGUAAAUGACGAAUGCUUAGGGGACAAAGGACGUUUAGAAGUCGUAUGAAUAUGUAUUGGUCCCAUGGUUGAAAAGAAAAGAUGGCCGGGGACCUCCCAAGCAAAAAAAAAUCAUAUGUUUUGAUCUGUGCAUUUCAUCUUAUGUUGAAUGGUAGGAAAGCCGGACUAUCAAAAGGGGUAUACGUGAUGAACUUCAGUGUGGCAGACAAUCAAUUUUAAGAUCAUACACUAAGAUCUUGUCCGCGGGAGAAAACCACAAGCGAUAGCUAAGUGUGAAGCCUCUAGAUUUACCUAGUUUUGCUCUACGUGAGGCCCAGAAAUCCGAAGGAUAUUCCGGAUGCUUCAAGGAGCUACCGGAUUCGCUCAGAGGCUCGAAUGGAUUCUUGCAUGGCGGUUCGGAGGUUCCGGACCAGCUCGCAUAUAAAGCUUGACAAUUGAAUUUUGAUGGGGCCUAUAAAAAGCUCACUCCCUUCUUCCCCGGAGGAUCACAGGUCUAAACAGCAAGAACACUCACUCUUCCACCAGCCUUGACUUUCGAAAGCUGAAGAAGCCCCCCUAUGGCUCUAAAGCCUUCGUGACUUUGAUUUGACCAUGUUUAUUAAAAUUCUGUGAACUAAACAUCAAAGUUAACAGAAUCCAUGUGUUUACCAAUUCUAUGUUUUGUACAUGCAUUCCUAGAGUAUUGAGAAUUACCAAAGUGCUAUUGCCACGCAUGGGUGAGUGUUCGAUCAUGCCGAACUUGUAAACAGAAGUUUCUAUGAUAAUGAUAUUUUUAGUUGAGAACCACCUCUUGGUAGGGUAACUACAAAGAAGAUGUACUCUCAUGGUGGUUGUUCCUCUCCUCCUGUAUUCUAGUGCUGUAAUCUCCCUCCCCUUACCUUGUCUCUGCCUUUGUCACAUUUCGACUAUUGCAGCCUUUUCAGNNNNNNNNNNNNNNNNNNNNNNNNNNNNNNNNNNNNNNNNNNNNNNNNNNNNNNNNNNNNNNNNNNNNNNNNNNNNNNNNNNNNNNNNNNNNNNNNNNNNNNNNNNNNNNNNNNNNNNNNNNNNNNNNNNNNNNNNNNNNNNNNNNNNNNNNNNNNNNNNNNNNNNNNNNNNNNNNNNNNNNNNNNNNNNNNNNNNNNNNNNNNNNNNNNNNNNNNNNNNNNNNNNNNNNNNNNNNNNNNNNNNNNNNNNNNNNNNNNNNNNNNNNNNNNNNNNNNNNNNNNNAUUCUCAAAAAAAAACUAUUGCAUUGUGGCUCAAAUUUACAUGAGCGUGCAUUAUCGGCUUUAACAUAGGAAUUCAGUGAGAUUCGUGAACUUAUCCACAGUCCAUGUCUGUCUAGCUAUGGUUCGGUGGUGCACUCGUGACCGUGAGGGUGUAUUGUUUAUGUGUAUCUUCGAUGUAACACACACAAAAAAAGGAUUACCACAUGUUCUUUUUGAUACAACAUCAUGCAUGCAAGUUUGUGUUCUUUAAAUGAUGGGUUCUGCAUAUAAGGAUUGUUCAUCCGUCGACAUGUGCAUCAAAUACAAAUGUGUUGCGAUAGUCGACAAAGAAUAUCCUCGACCGUUGUGAAUCCUGGCACUUGUCCAGAACACAAUGGAAUACUGGUUGGUUUUGCGACUUUGACAAGAAGGAAAAUGUAGGAAUGGAGAGAGUUAUGAUACUCAAGUCGGAUGGAUCCUACGGUGGCACGCCGGUUUUCCUAGAUUACAAGUGUUCGACGUCUAGGUUACAAUGAAGUACGGUGUUCUCUGAAAGUGCCGCUAGCUAUAUGCAUUUGCACUUGCACUACUAGUAGCUAAUAGUUUUGAUUCCGCAAACAAAAAAUAAUGGAGUAUUAGCUAAUAGUUUUUGGCGUGAUUCUUUGGAGUAAUAUAGUUUUGGCGCGAGAUACCAAAAGUUCAAGAGGAAGAGACGGGAGCGAGAAAGGACGGACGGUUCCAAAAAUGUGCGGACCGGAUAAACCUGCCGUGGUUCUUCACGCGGCCGCGCGACGCGCUUGAUCGAGGGAAAAAAAUUAUAUGAGACCAGAUCUCAUAUAAAUCAGGUAAGACCCGCCUUGAUGGAUGACAUGUGGCAUUCACAAAUCACAAAGUAUCUAAUCUCUCCCCCCCUGAUUUCAGGUGGGGGUGGGGUGGAUGCUUUGUGAUUUACGUCGACCUGGUCUCAUAGAAUUUUUUUCCCUUGAUCGAGGGUCCCUGAUACGACCCGACGCAGACAGCUAGCACAUCGAUUCAGAGGCGUGGGGACAGCUAGUUAGCCCGACUUCAUAGACUGCACGUUGAAAACCGAAACAUACUCCUGCUAAGAUCAGGGUUCGGACAUCACAGCGAGGGGACCGAGUAGCUCCUGCACGUCGAAAAUGGGAACAUAUGAGUAGAUCAGGAUUCAGAGAUCAGAGUCAGGGGACGGGCCAGCUAACCCACCAGGCCACCAGCAGUUAAGUUGGCAACGGUGGCCGCGGUUGGAACGCUGGAGAUCCAUCCUGGCCACGGCACAUGACAUUUGACACGCAUGACACGGUAGUGUGCAAGUCGCGUCGGUCGAUCAGAUUAGCACGAUCGAGAGUGAACGCGACGACGACUACGAAGAUCGCAAUAGCACGAGAGUGACCCAUGAUACUGCUCGCAACCUGACCACAAUUAUGACGAGUCAAACUUCCAGCGCGUUGCAAGUCCCGGCCGGCUCCGUCUCCGUGGGUGGCUCACAUCCAAGCGACGGCGGCUUAGGUCGUCGCUGUCGUCCUUCACAGGGUCUUCUCCACAAUGCAUUUCCUUUUUCCAUAGGGAACCCCUUGUCCUUUCAUAGUUCUGCAGUCGUGUACAACAGGAGCACACAGACAGCGAGGACUCUGGAGUGAAUUUGAGCACCAAGAUUUCAUCUGAACGUAAUUACCUCUACGCGGUUUCUACUAGCUUUAGCUACCCAGAUCAAGAAGCAACCCAGCUGAUAGGUUUUACUUUCUCUUCCACAUACGUAGAGUACGUGCUCAGCAAGUUGGAGGUGCUGGCUACCAUCGGCUGGCCGGAGGUACCGGAUGCCAUGGGGUCCCCUUGUCUGGAUCUGAAAUUGCCGGACCUGACGGCGCGACCCCCUCCUCUCCCGAUAGCGCUAGUUGGCAGCUGGAUGAUGGUGUGGGCUGGCCGCCGGGGCAGGGGCCGUGGGCUGGUUACUCUUAUGCGCUUGUCUCGACCUUCUCUGUCCAGGUCGAGGUGGAGGCUCGUGCCUUGGUUGGGAGGCGGCUUCGUGUUUUGGCAUUGGUGUUGAGUUGUCGAAGGAUGCCGGGGCGGUGGCCCCGGAUGGCAGGUGUCCCACGGUGGGCUUUCUAGCAGGCCUCGUGGUGACUCUCACUGUGGGGGUGGCAGUGGCUCUUCGUGGUGGUAUUGGUGAGUUCCCGAGCCAAAGCUUCGCGAUUGGCGCCAGUGACGGCGGCUCCCGUGGGUGUCGUUUCCUUUUUGAAAGAGUAGUCGUGGGGUCUUGCUCAUGUGCUAGGGCUCCGGGUGAAAAUCCUUCUCUAUUCUCAGACACGGCAGCGGAGAUGCUUUGCGUUGUCACCCUCUUGGGGUGUUGCCGUGGAGUUUUGGUGUCGUCGGUUGGUCCUAAGCGAGGUGUUAGGCUAGCUCUAAGUUCCUUGUUGUAUCUUUUGAUCUGCUUUGUAAGAGAGUCUUCUCUUCAUAUUGUAUCGUUCGACUGUGUAUUAUUAAACGUUGUUGCUUUAUAUAUAAAGCGCUGCGAAUGCCUGUUUCAAAAAAAAGCAACCCAGCUGGUAGGUUUUACUUUGUCUUGUCCACAAACGUAGAGUACGUACUCAGCAAGCGGGAGUAUAUUUUGUUGGUUCUUGGGGCGCACGAAAUAAAUUAAUCAUACAGAAAAAUUGGACGUAUAUACGUCAAAGGUACACAUGUGGAUGUAUACAUGUGAGAGAGGAUGGGAUGGGAUGCCAUUGGGUGGAGUGGACAGUCGUCAAACUUGACAGCUAGGCCACGCCCAUGUUAGCAUAUCAGACCAGAUCACAACCUGGCCUGGUCAAAUGCUUAAUUAAUUUACUACACUCCCACUAAGGCGCCAUUAUCCGUCCAUUAGUUGUUGGAGUGCAUACUACAUAGCAGUAUUUUCUUCGUUCCUAAAUACAAGUCUUUUUAAAGAUUUUAAUAUAAACUAUAUAUGAAGCAAAAUGAGUGAAUCUACACUCUAAACUACGUUAAUAUAUAUCCGUCCAUUAGUUGUUGGAGUGCAUACUACAUAGCAGUAUUUCCUUCGUUCCUAAAUACAAGUCUUUUUAAAGAUUUUAAUAUAAACUAUAUAUGAAGCAAAAUGAGUGAAUCUACACUCUAAACUACGUUAAUAUAUAGCUCAUUUGUGUGCAGUCCAUAUUGAAUGGAGGGAGUAGUAUGAUUUGGUUGGAAGAAAAUGCAGCAGAUCAUCAUAUGUCUGUCUUACAGAAGGUUGAAUUUUUAGCAGGGAAGAACAUGGUCCGUGUCAUCCCAUGUUUUCUCUAAGGAGAAAGGAGAAAUGUAUACUUAAUUAACAAACAGUCCCCAUGAGUAAAUAAGUCCAGUGUCGACGAGCUUAAAUUACCAAACAAUUCAUAUGUCAGAAUCGAUCCAUUUUCUUGAGGUCGAUUUGACGGUGAUCCUCUCAUCAUGUGAUUUCAGCACGUAAACAAAAAAAAUACGUGUUCCAGAGUAAUAACAUCUAGCAUUGAGCACAGAUGUACGUAUGUUGUGGACGAACAGCCACGGAAUGGAAUUUCAUACUGCACAUCAUAUUCAAAGAAACCAAAUGCUAUUCUGCUCCAACACAAAUUUGGUGUUAAAAUGGAAUCGAUCACUUCUUUUUCUCCUUAGAAGAAUCGGAUGGAGCUAUCGAGCUAGCUAUACGUCUACAGUAGCUUCACAUAUCUUGGGCACAUCAAGCAACCACGCAUGUGUGGCUUCCCUGUUUAGCUGUUCUGCUUUGUUUCUGCAAGCUAGCAUCAGGUGCCAAACACACAGGGAGUUCAGACUUCAAAGAACUCUCAAGUAGCACGAACAGCGACGGCCUAACAUUGUGAUUGGCAAGUGGGGCCACAAACGGCGGGCAGUAUAUCUAUGCUCAUGAUAAUAUUUUGCUUACCGAAUCAUGUACGUAUGUAGUCAUGGAAAAUUCAAACAGGCGGGAGACUGAAGCGAAAGUUGAUCAUCAUCUUCUAUCACCGAAGUAAAAUAAGUAUGGCUGACAUCUAAACCUUUGAACUACGACAAAAAUACUUCCUGGCAAGAAAUAUUUUUGUUUUGUCUUGAGAGACAUCAAGUACUAUUAUUCAGCUUGGCCUCCCGGGCAAAGAAAGUUAGAAGUCUCAAGUCUAAGUCGUCGUGUGAGACAGAGCUCGCGGUCUUCUCCGCCUCCAUGUGGGUGAUGUCUCCUGGUGCACACACAUUCGUUCUAGUCAAGUUUUGCAGGUCGUCGAUAGAGGCCUAGUGAUGUAUCCAUUCAAAUCUUGUCGGUCUGUAUUCAGACUGCAUUGAUCCCAAGAGCUUACGGCAUCUACAACUGAAUUUUGGCCUCUCAAACGUUUGCGGACGCGUCCAGUCAAUGUCUCAAUGUGUCCAUUUCAGCCCCUUCAGUAGCUACACAUGGCGCCCUAGCUAGCUUCACGCAUCUUGGUUUGAGGAGAAGUGCUCUCAAGAAUUUUCGGUCGGCUCACGUAGCCAUCCGGAGAUAUUCCUUCCCGACCUAACAAGUCCAACGAUUUCUUCCAAUGCAACCAGUACGCACGCGCUUUCCCGUUUGUCUUUCCUCUGCGUGGGCUUCCCUGUGCACUUGUUCCGUUCUGUUUCUGCAAGCCAGCAUCAGGUGCGAGACACACAAGGAGUUCAGACUUCAGAGAACUCUCAACAAGCAACAACAUGAACAGCGACAGCCCAGUUGGCAGCGCUGGCAAGUGGGCUAUUCAAAUAAGCUAGUGAUCGCAGCACAGAGGUGAUCAUCAUCGGCUACUAUUACUGAAGGAAAGAUGAGCAUGGCAUCUAACCUUUCAACAGCGACAGUCGACAGAGAAAAGUUACCUGGCACUGAGUAGUGAAUAGUCAGUACUACUAGUAGCUGAUGAUGAUGUAUCUCCUUCGGGACCAAGAAAGUUAUAUGAAGUCUCAAGUCCAAGUCGUCGUCGUCGUGUCCGGCUAAGCUCGCAGUUUUCUCCACCUCCAUGUGGGCGAUGUCUUCAGCACCGCUGCACACAAGUCCGUUCUAGUCGAGCUCUGCGGGUCGUAGAUAGGAGCCUGAUGGAGUGAUGGAUCCAUUCAAACGUUUCCGGUCUGUGUUCAAACAGCGUUGAUCCCAAGAGCUUACAACCACAUGACCAAGCGGCGGGCCACGGAGGGAAAACGAUUAUUAGGGCCUUUUUUGAAUGCGCGGUGUGUACGAACACAUGGAAAUGGAAAAAGAGAAAAAACACCCGUAUAAAUAGAAUGUUGGCGCAUGUUUAAUUCGACAGAAAUUGAGAACACUGGAAUGUCAUGUGUAGUAGAUGUCAUUUGUUGCAUCAGAAGAACACGGAAAAAAAUUAUGUAACAUUAGAUUGAUGACAUACUUGUCAUUGGAACAAACAAAACAGAUCCACGAUGUUAUUGUCUCGAUGGAAAUUUUAUUUUAGAAUUGCAUGUAAGUAGUCUUAGACGGAAUUUCUAUAGUUUUCAGUCCUACAAAUCAAAGAAGAUAUCCCUCAAAGAGGCCCUAGCUUUGCCAAACUGUAUAGAUCUCUUUCACAUGCCUGACUACUCAAGCCAUUCAGCAGUUCCAAGAGCUCAGCACUGCUUUGCAUCAAAUUCUAACANNNNNNNNNNNNNNNNNNNNNNNNNNNNNNNNNNNNNNNNNNNNNNNNNNNNNNNNNNNNNNNNNNNNNNNNNNNNNNNNNNNNNNNNNNNNNNNNNNNNNNNNNNNNNNNNNNNNNNNNNNNNNNNNNNNNNNNNNNNNNNNNNNNNNNNNNNNNNNNNNNNNNNNNNNNNNNNNNNNNNNNNNNNNNNNNNNNNNNNNNNNNNNNNNNNNNNNNNNNNNNNNNNNNNNNNNNNNNNNNNNNNNNNNNNNNNNNNNNNNNNNNNNNNNNNNNNNNNNNNNNNNNNNNNNNNNNNNNNNNNNNNNNNNNNNNNNNNNNNNNNNNNNNNNNNNNNNNNGGUGUCGCCGGCCGAAGCAAAAGUGGCGUUGGUCCGCUCUGUCGGCGAGAGGAGGCACUUUUCCUGCCAUUUCCUCCCGCUUUCCCCCUCGGCUUCCCUCUCAUUCUCCAUUCCUCCCGCCAAACUCCGCCUCCUCCCUUCCAAGCUGCCCGCCAUGCCGUCGAAGAAGUACGUGAUGCUCCGCGCCGCGACGGAUCCCACAACCACUGUCGUCGCCCAGCCGAAGCAAAGGAAGCCGAGGGCGCCACCGUCCAAGCCCCCGGGCAUGACCAACGCUGACCGGAAGGUGGAUGUGCAGCGCCGGGAGGCCGUCACCGCCGAUAGACGCAACAGGGCCAACAAGGCCAGGGAGAGGGCGGCGCACGCGGCUGCCGCAGCGGCAGCGACGGAGCUGGUGGAGCGCGCGGCCGAACAAGCGGAGGUGGCUCGCGCGGCGAUGAUGAAUCCACCCCGUGGGCACGACCCGCACGCCUCGAGCCAGCAAAGUGUCGGCUCUCCGGCCGGGUUCUCGUCGUCGCCACACCCAUGGAGCACGCUGUCGCCGGGCUAUGCCGAUGGCGACGUCCACGGUGGUUUCAACCCCAACAUCACCUUUCCCCAUGGGCCCCGGUCCAGCGCACGCCAUCGCCCGCGUUUGCCGGCGUGCAGUACCCUCCGUACACGUACUCGCCGCCGGACUACGCAGCUUCACCGAUGCUACCUCUCCGCCGCGGCCUUUACUCGCAAGCGUCGUCCUCGUCGCAUCUUGUCGACGCCGACGCGAUGGAAGCCGACAUGGAAGACAUCAUCGCAGCCGGCUCGGCAGCUGCCGCCGCUUCCCCCGGGUUUACUACCCAAGACGGCUCGAUUGAUCUCGGCGACAUGGACGCCGAACUCGACUAUGGCGAGGAAGAGCCGGAUGAGGAGGAGGAGGAGGAGGAGGAGGAGGAGGAGGAGCCGGCGCCGACGAGGAAAGGCAAGAAGAAGAAGAAGAAGAAGAAGAAGAAGAAGAAGAAGAAGAAAGGGGCGGCCAAGACCGGCGAGCCGCGCAUCAAGUGGGCGACCAAGGAAGAUGAGUGCCUCGCCGAAGCGUGGAAGGUCGUCUGCCUCGACCCGAUCACCGGCACGAACCAGAGCUUCGACACGUAUUGGUACCGCAUCAAGGCCGAGUUCAACGAGCGCAAGCUCGUCGACCCCUACUUCAAAGUCAUCCACAUGCAGCGGGGGUCGAAGGCGAUGGCGAACCACUUGGGGCUUGAUACGUCCAUUUUUGCAUCAUGCUUUUAUAUUGAUAUUUAUUGCAUUAUGGGAUGUUAUUACACAUUAUGUCACAAUACUUAUGGCUAUUCUCUCUUAUUUUACAAGGUUUAUCAUGAAGAGGGAGAAUGCCGGCAGCUGGGAUUCUGGCUGGAAAAGGAGCAAAUAUUGGAAACCUAUUCUGCAUAGCUCCAAAAGACCUGCAACUCCACGAAAGUCAUUUUUGGAUUUAAUAAGAAUUAUUGGGCAAAGAAAGUACCUGAGGGGGCCCACACCCUGGCCAGGAGGGUGGGGGGCGCCCCCCUCCCUACUGGGUGCGCCCCCCUGUCUCCUGGGCCCCCUGGUGGCCCUCCGGUACCCAUCUUCUGCUAUAUGAGCUCUUUUACCCUGAAAAAAAUCAUAAGCACGCUCACGAGACGAAACUCCACCGCCACGAGGCGGAACCUUGGCGGAACCAAUCUAGGGCUCCGGCGGAGCUGUUCUAUCGGGGAAACUUCCCUCCGGGAGGGGGAAAUCAUCACCAUCGUCAUCACCAACGAUCAUCUCAUCGGGAGGGCGUCAAUCUCCAUCAACAUCUUCACCAGCACCAUCUCCUCUCAAACCCUAGUUCAUCUCUUGUAUCCAAUCUUGUAUCCAAAACCACAAAUUGGUACCUGUGGGUUGCUAAUAGUGUUGAUUACUCCUUGUAGUUGAUGCUAAUUGGUUUACUUGGUGGAAGAUCAUAUGUUCAGAUCCUUUAUGCAUAUUAAUACCCCUCUGAUUAUGAACAUGAAUAUGCUUUGUGAGUAGUUCCGUUUGUUCCUGAGGACAUGGGUGAAGUCUUACUAUUAGUAGUCAUGUGAAUUUGGUAUUCGUUCGAUAUUUUGAUGAGAUGUAUGUUGUCUCUCCUCUAGUGGUGUUAUGUUAACGUCGACUACAUGACACUUAACCAUUAUUUGGGCCUAGAGGAAGGCAUUGGAAAGUAAUAAGUAGAUGAUGGGUUGCUAGAGUGAAAGAAGCUUAAACCCUAGUUUAUGCGUUGCUUCGUAAGGGGCUGAUUUGGAUCCAUUAGUUUCAUGCUAUGGUUAGGUUUACCUUAAUACUUAUUUUGUAGUUGAGGAUGCUUGCAAUAGGGGUUAAUCAUAAGUGGGAUGCUUGUCCAAGAAAGGUCAGUACCCAAGCACCGGUCCACCCACAUAUCAAAUUAUCAAAGUAACAAACGUGAAUCAUAUGAGCGUGAUGAAACUAGCUUGACGAUAAUUCCCAUGUGUCCUCGGGAGCACUUUUCUCAUUAUAAGAAAUUGUCCAGGCUUGUCCUUUGGUACAAAAAGGAUUGGGCCACCUUGCUGCACCUUAUUUACUUUCAUUGCUUGUCACCCGUUACAAAUUAUCUUAUCACAAAACUAUCUAUUACCUACAAUUUCAGUGCUUGCAGAGAAUACCUUACUGAAAACCGCUUGGCAUUUCCUUCUGCUCCUCGUUGGGUUCGACACUCUUACUUACCGAAAGGACUAUGAUAGAUCCCCUAUACUUGUGGGUCAUCAAGACUCUUUUCUGGCGCCGUUGUCGGGGAGUGAAGCGCCUUGGUGAGUGGAACUUGGUAAGGAAACAUUUAUAUAGUGUGCUGAAAUUUUCUGUCACUUGUUACUAUGGAAACUAAUCCUUUGAGGGCUUGUUCGUGGCAUCUUCGCCCCGACUAGUAGAGCAAAGAGUUGCUCCUCAACCUACUGAACCUACUGAAAAUGUUCACGUUGAAAUUCCUUCGGUUAUGAUAGAGAAACUACUAGCUAAUCCCUUUGCAGGAGAUGGAACAUUGCAUCCCGGUUUACACCUUAUCUUUGUGGAUGAAGUUUGUGGAUUAUUUAAGCUUGCAGGUAUUCCCGAUGAUGUUGUCAAGAGGAAGGUCUUUCCUCUAUCUUUGAGUGGAGACGCAUUGACAUGGUAUAGGCUAUGUGAUGAUACGGGAUCUUGGAAUUAUAAACGAUUGAAGUUGGAAUUUCACCAGAAGUUCUAUCCUAUGCAUCUUGUUCAUCGUGAUCAUAAUUACAUAUAUAACUUCUGGCCUCGCGAAGGAGAAAGCAUCGCUCAAUCUUGGGGGAGGCUUAAGUCAAUGUUAUAUUCAUGCCCCAAUCAUGAGCUCUCAAGAGAAAUGAUUAUUCAAAAAAAUUAUGCUCGGCUUUCUCUCAAUGAUCGCACCAUGCUCGAUACUUUCUGUGCUGGUUCUUAUAUGUUGAAGACUACUGAAUUCAAGUGGGAUUUAUUGGAAAGAAUUAAAUGCAACUCUGAAGAUUUGGGUUCCGACGAUAGUAAGGAGUCAGGUAUGGCACCUAAGUUUGAUUGUGUUAAAUCUUUUAUGGAUACCGAUGCUUUUCGUGGAUUUAGCGCUAAAUAUGGACUUGACUCUGAGAUAGUAGCUUCUUUCUAUGAAUCUUUUUCUACGCACGUUGAUCUCCCUAAGGAGAAGUGGUUUAAAUAUAAUCCUCCCAUUGAAGUAAAAGUAGUUGCACCUAUUACAUUUGAAGAAAAGACUAUCACUUAUAAUGAUCCUAUUGUUCCUACUACUUAUGUUGAGAAACCACCUUUUCCUGUUAGAAUAAAGGAUCAUGCCAAAGCUUCAACUAUUGUGCGUAAGAGUAAUACUAGAACUUACACACCUCCUGAGCAAAUUAAAGUUGAACCUAGUAUUGCUAUGGUUAAAGAUCUCUUGGAUGAUAAUAUAGAUGGGCAUGUUAUUUAUUUCUGUGGUGAAACUACUAAUAUUGCUAAACCAGAUGCUAGGAUACAUAGACCUGUUGUAGGCAUGCCUGUUAUUUCUGUUAAAAUAGGAGAUUGUUGUUAUCAUGGCUUAUGUGAUAUGGGUGCUAGUGCUAGUGCAAUACCUUUUUCCUUAUAUAAUAAAAUUAUGCAUGAUAUUGCACCUGCUGAGUUAGAAGAAAUAGAUGUUACAAUUAAGCUUGCCAAUACAGAUACUAUUUCACCAGUUGGGAUUGUUAGAGAUGUUGAAGUCUUGUGUGGGAAAGUUAAAUACCCUACUGAUUUCCUUGUUCCGGGUUCCCCAUGAUAACCCACAAGUAUAGGGGAUCGCAAUAGUUUUCGAGGGUAGAGUAUUCAACCCAAAUUUGUUGAUUCGACACAAGGGGAGCCAAAGAAUAUUCUCAAGUAUUAGCAGCUGAGUUGUCAAUUCAACCACACCUGGAAAUUUAGUAUCUGCAGCAAGGUGUUUAGUAGCAAAGUAAUAUGAUAGUGGUGGUAAUGGUAACAAAAGUAAAGACGGCAAAAGUAAUGUUUUUGGUAUUUUGUAGUGAUUGUAACGGUAAUAACGGAAAAGUAAAUAAGCGAGAACCAGUAUAUGGAAAACUCGUAGGCACCGGAUCAGUGAUGAAUAAUUAUGUCGGAUGUGGUUCAUCAUGUAACAGUCAUAACAUAGGAUGACACAGAACUAGCUCCAGUUCAUCAAUGUAAUGUAGGCAUGUGUUCCGAAUAUAGUCAUACGUUCUUAUGGAAAAGAACUUGCAUGACAUGUUUUGUCCUACCCUCCCGUGGCAGUGGGGUCCUAUUGGAAACUAAGGGAUAUUAAGGCCUCCUUUUAAUAGAGAAUCGGAACAAAGCAUUAGCACAUAGUGAAUACAUGAACUCCUCAAACUAUGAUCAUCAUCGGGAGUGGUUCUGAUUAUUGUCACUUCGGGGUUGCCGGAUCAUAACACAUAGUAGGUGACUAUAGACUUGCAAGAUAGGAUCAAGAACUCACAUAUAUUCAUGAAAACAUAAUAGGUUCAGAUCUGAAAUCAUGGCACUCGGGCCCUAGUGACAAGCAUUAAGCAUAGCAAAGUCAUAGCAACAUCAAUCUCAAAACAUAAUGGAUACUAGGGAUCAAACCCUAACAAAACUAACUCGAUUACAUGAUAAAUCUCAUCCAACCCAUCACCGUCCAGCAAGCCUACGAUGGAAUUACUCACACACGGCGGUGAGCAUCAUGAAAUUGGUGAUGGAGGAUGGUUGAUGAUGAUGACGUCAACGAAUCCCCCUCUCUGGAGCCCCGAACGGACUCCGGAUCAGCCCUCCCGAGAGAGAUUAGGGCUUGGCGGCGGCUCUGUAUCGUAAAACGCGAUGAUUUCUUCUCUCUGAUUCUUUUCUCCCCGAAGGCCAAUAUAUGGAGUUGGAGUUGGCGUCGGAGGGCCACCAGGGGGCCCACGAGGUAGGCGGGCGCGCCCAGGGGGGCUUCCCCACCCUCAUGGACAGGGUGUGGGCCCCCUGGUCUUCUUCUUUGGCGAGGAUUUUUUAUUAAUUAUCCUAAGACAUUCCGUGGAGUUUCAGGUCGUUCCGAGAACUUUUAUUUUCUGCACAAAAACAACACCAUGGCAAUUCUGCUGAAAACAGCGUCAGUCUGGGUUAGUUCCAUUCAAAUCACACAAGUUAGAGUCCAAAACAAGGGCAAAAGUGUUUGGAAAAGUAGAUACGACAGAGAUGUAUCAACUCCCCCAAGCUUAAACCCUUGCUUGUCCUCAAGCAAUUUAGUUGACAAACUGAAAGAGAAAAAGAAAAACUUUUACAAACUCUAUUUGCUCUUGUUGUAAACAUGAAAAGCCAGCAUUCAAGUUUCAGCAAAUAUUAUGAACUAACCAUACGCACAAUAACACAAAGGUCUCACAAUUACUCAUAUCAAUAGCAUAAUCAGCUAGCGAGCUAUAAUAACAAAACUCAGAUGACAACACUUUCUCAAAAUAAUCAUAACAUUAUAUAACGGAAUGGUAUCUUGCUAGCCCUUUCUGAGACCGCAAAACAUAAAUGUAGAGCACCUUCAAAGAUCAAGGACUGACUAAAUAUUAUAAUUCAUGGUAAAAGAGAUCCAGUCAAGUCAUACCCAAUAUAAACCAAUAAUAAUGAAUGCAAACGACAGUGUGCUCUCCAGCGGGUGCUUUUUAGUAAGAAGGGUGAUGACUCAACGUAAAAGUAAAUAGAUAGGCCCUUCGCAGAGGGAAGCAAGGAUUUGUAGAGGUGCCAGAGCUCGGUUUUAAAAUGGAGAUUGAAUAACAUUUUGAGCGGCAUACUUUUGCUGUCAACGUAACAACUAUGAGAUGACGAUAUCUUCCAUGCUAAACAAAUUAUAGGCAGUUCCCAAACAGAAUGGUAAAGUUUAUACUCCCCUUCCUCCACAAGCAUCAAUCCAUGGCUUGCUCGAAACAACGAGUGCCUCCAACAUUCAACGGGUCCCACGGGGAGUUUUGUUUGCAAUUAUUUUGAUUUAGUUUGCAUAAAGCAUGGGACUGGGCAUCUCGGUGACCAGCCAUUUUCUCGUGAAUGAGGAGAGGAGUCCACUCCUCUUGAGAAUAACCGCCUAACAUGGAAGAUAAGGAUAGCCCUAGUUGAAACAUGAGCUGCUCGAGCAUACAAAACAAAAUUUUAUUUGAAGGUUUGGAGUUUGGCACAUACAAAUUUACUUGGAACGGCGGGUAAAUACCGCAUAUAGGAAGGUAUAGUGGACUCAUAUGGAACAACUUUGGGGUUUCAGGAGUUUGGAUGCACAAGCAGUAUUCCCACUUAGUACAGGUGAAGGCUAGCAAAAGACUGGGAAGCGACCAACUGAGAGAGCGACAACAGUCGUAAACAUGCAUUAAAUUAAUUUACACCGAAUACAAGCAUGAGUAGGAUAUAAUCCACCAUGAACAUAAAUAUCAUGAAGGCUAUGUUGAUUUGAUUCAACUACAUGCAUGAACAUGUGCCAAGUCUAGUCACUCAAUUCAUUUAAAGGAGGAUACCAUCCCAUCAUACCACAUCAUAAUCAUUCUAAUAGCAUGUUGGCACGCAAGGUAAACCAUUAUAACUCAUAGCUAAUCAAGCAUGGCACAAGCAACUAUAAUCUCUAAAUGUCAAUGUGAAUAUGCUCACUUCAUAAUAGCUAACUCGGGAACGAUGAUCAUCAUAUUUACAAAAACAAGAGAGGUCGAGUUCGUACCAGCUUUUCUCAUCCCAAUAAGUCCAUCAUAUAUCAUCAUUAUUGCAUUUCACUUGCACGACCAAACGAUGUGAAUAAUAAUAAGAGUGCACGUGCAUUGGACUAAGCUGGAAUCUGCAAGCAUUCAAUGACCAGGAGAAGACAAGUAAUAUGGGCUCUAAGUUAAAUAAACAAUCAUGCAUAUAAGAGCCACUUCAACAAUUUAAUCAUGAUCUUCUCCUACUGACCCCCAAAGAAAAGAAAAGGAAAACUAUUUACACGGGAAAGCUCCCAACAAGCAAAAGAAGAACGGGAAAUAUUUUUGGGUUUUCCUUUUUAAUUACUACAGCAAAGAAAUAAAAUACUACUAAUUUUUUGGUUUUGUUAAGGUUUAUAAACACACAAGAAGAAAGCGGGAAAAAGAAAAUAAACUAGCAUGGAUAUUACAGUGAAAGAGUAUGAACGCCGACAUCUAGUAAUGAGUGUGUGUGAACAUAAAUGUAAUGUCGGUGGGAGAUACGUACUCCCCCAAGCUUAGGUUUUUAGCCUAAGUUGGUCUAUUGCCAGGGAUAGCCUGGUGGAUACCCGUAAGUGAAGUUGGGGUCAUACUGUGAUGCAGCGGCUAUAGCCUCCUGAGCCGCAGCGUAGCGUCGGGCUGCCUCAGCUCUUUUCUCGUACUCAUCUGCCUCCUCUCUGGUAAUAAUAUAUCUUCCUUUUAUCUGCGAAUCAAAGAAGACAGGAGCAGGAAGAGCAAUAUGGACUACAUGUCGUUUGUUAAAGAUUAGUCGAUAUUGGAAAGGUGGUUCAGUCCUCUCAACAAACUGGUGGGAAACCAUAGAAUCAAAAUCCAAAUAAGUAGAGGGUAACUCUGUAUCACCCUCUCGAAUGUCUAUUUCAAGAAAAUUAGCUAAGCGGGUUGCAUAAAUUCCUCCAAAGAAAUCUUCGUUAUAUCUGUUAUGAUGCAACCUACGAGCUACGAUGGCUCCCAGAUGAUAAGAUUGGUCUCCUAACACAGCACUUCUGAGAAUGCUGAGAUCAGGGGCACACAAGUGACAUACUUCAUCCUUAGCAUUAAUGCAUCUACCUAUAAAGAGAGCGAAAUAAUGUAUAGCAGGGAAAUGAAUGCUCCCUAAAGUGGCUUGUGUUAUAUCUCUAGAUUCCCCCACAGUUAUUUUAGCAAGAAAGUCUCUAUAUUCAGAUUUAGGGGGAUCCCUGACAUUACCCCAUGAUGGAAGCUUGCAAGCAGAAGUGAAAUCCUCUAAGUCCAUGGUAUAAGAUUUGUCAUAAAGGUCAAACAUGACUGAAGGAGAAUUACGCGAAGAUGAAAACUCAAACCUCCUCACAAAUGAACUUGUGAGAUCAUGAUACUGGGGGCAUUUGUCAUCUUCAAAGUCCUCAAGACCGGCAUUGCGCAAAUAUGCGCUAAAUUCUUCUUUGAUUCCCACUUGAUUCAUAAAAUUUUCCGAAGGCCAUUCACAGGGCCUAACAGGAGCAUCUCUUGGUGGUUCCUCGCAGCAUCACGUAUGGCAAGCCUGGGACCUUGUUUCCUUGAAGGGCCACCUUGGAACAUCCUCCUAAACAUAUCAUUUCCUCUGAAAAACUUCUGAAAUUUUUAGUAACUUCAAAUAAAAGUGAACCAACUUCAAUAAAAUUGAUAGCAACAACUCAUGCAAGUGCCUAGAGCCUAUAUAAAGCAUUGGAACUACUUGGAACCAUAUAAAUUUGACAUGCAAGCACAAGAGCAUGGUCACCUAUGUAGCACAAAUUUGCAAUGAAUAAAGCACUAGAACAAAAACUAAUUGGACCAAUGGAGGAGUCACAUACCAAGGAACAAUCUCCCCAAGCAGUUUUGUGAGAGGUGCUUUGAGCAAGGAGAUCGAAAAUCACAGCAACGGGGGCUGGAACUCGUGCUUGAGUUGGUUUUUCGUGUUUGUGUGAGGCAGACGAAGAAGAUGGGUGCAGGAAUAAGUGGAGGAGGGCCACCGUGGGCCCACGAGGCAGGGGGUAGGGCACGUCCUCCACCCUCGUGGCCAGGUGGCAGCUCCCCCCGCGGUGCUUUUUGCACAGUAAAUUCUUAAAUAUUCCCGAAAAAAUCAUAUUAAAUUGGCAUGGAAUUCUGAGGACUUUUAUUUUCGGGAUAUUUUUAUAUUCCACGGAUAAGUUAGGAAACAGACAGAGAAAUACUAUUUUACUUCAUUUCUACUAAAUAAUAGAAAAUAUAAAGAGGGUACAAAAGGUUGUGCUUCUAGUUUCGUCCAUCUCAUGUUCAUCAAAAAGAAUCCACUAACAAGGCUGAUCAAGUCUUGUUAACGAGUUCAUUCCGAUUAACACAGAACCGGAGAAAUUUCGAAUAGCACUAAGUUACCUCAACGGGGAUAUGAAAAUCCCCAACAAUAAGAAUAUCAUACUUUUUCUUGACAGUAGGGAGAGGAAAUUCAAACCCUCCAAAUAUAAUCGAUGGAAUUUUUCCAAUAGAGUUGAUACUGUGGACCUGAGGUUGUUUCCUCGGAAAGUGUAUUGUGCGCUCAUUGCCAUUAACAUGAAAGUGACAUUGUCUUUGUUGCAAUCAAUAACAGCCCCUGUAGUAUUAAGGAAAGGUCUUCCAAGAAUAAUAGACAUACUAUCAUCCUCGGGAAUAUCAAGAAUAACAAAGUCCAUUAAAAUAGUAACGUUUGCAACCACAACAGGCACAUCCUCACAAAUACCGACAGGUAUAGCAGUUGAUUUAUCAGCCAUUUGCAAAGAUAUUUCAGUAGGUGUCAACUUAUUCAAGUCAAGUCUACGAUAUAAAGAGAGAGGCAUAACACUAACACCGGCUCCAAGAUCACACAAAGUAGUUUUAACAUAAUUUCUCUUAAUGGAGCAUGGUAUAGUAGGUACUCCGGGAUCUCCAAGUUUCUUUGGUAUUCCACCCUUGAAAGUAUAAUUAGCAAGCAUGGUGGAAAUUUCAGCUUCAGGUAUCUUUCUUUUAUUAGAAAUAAUAUCCUUCAUAUACUUAGAAUAAGGAUUUGUUUUGAGAACAUCAGUUAAUCGCAUACGCAAAAAGAUAGGUCUAAUCAUUUCAGCAAAGUGCUCAAAAUCCUCAUCAUCCUUUUUCUUGGAUGGUUUCGGAGGAAAAGGCAUGGGUUUUUGAACCCAUGGUUCCCUUUCUUUACCAUGUUUCCUAACAACGAAGUCUCUUUUAUCAUAACGUUGAUUCCUUGAUUGUGGGUUAUCAAGAUCAACAGCGGGUUCAGCUUCUACAUCAUUAUCAUUACUAGGUUGAGUAUCAACAUGAACAUUAUCAUUAACAUUAUCACUAGGUUCAUGUUCAUCUCAUCUGAUUGUGUUUCAGCAUCAGAAAUAGAAAUAUCAUUUGGAUUCUCAGGUGGUUCAGCAAUAGGUUCACUAGAAGUUUGCAACGUCCUAUCAUUUUUCUUUUUCUUCUUUCUAGAAGAACUAGGCACAUCAAUAUCAUUUCUCUAAGAAUCUUGCUCGAUUCUCUCAGGGUGGCCUUCAGGAUACAAAGGUUCCUGAGUCAUUCUACCGGUUCUAGUAGCCACUCUAACAGCAUAAUCAUUUUUCUUACUAUUCAUUUCAUAAAGCACUUCUUUUUGAGCUUUAAGUACUUGUUCUACUAGAGUGGUAACCAUAGAAGCAUGUUUGCUAACAAUUUUAAGUUCACCUCUAAUAUCGGUCAUAUAAUCACCCAAGCGUUUAAUCAUAUAAGCAUCUUGUUUUUAAUUGUCUACCAAAGUAAGCAUUAAAAUCAUCUUGCUUAAACAUAAAGUUAUCAAACUCAUCCAAGCACUGACUAGCAAUUCUAGUAGGAGGGACUUCAGCUUUAUCAUAUCUAUAGAGAGAAUUUACCUUUACUACCUGUGUCGGGAUAUCGGGAGGUUCUUCAGUAAAUAAGUAAUUGAGAUCAUAUACUUCUUCAACAGGCGGUAAAUUAAGACCGUGUAUUUCUUCAAUAGGAGGUAAAUUCUUAACAUCUUCAACUUUAAUACCUUUUUCUUUCAUAGAUUUCUUUGCCUCUUGCAUAUCUUCGGGACUGAGAAAUAGAACACCUCUCUUCUUCGGAGUUGGUUUAGGAAUAGGCUCAAUAAUUGGCUCAGAAAUUGGCUCAGGAGCUGGCUCAGGAGGUGCCCAAUUAUUUUCAUUUGUCAACAUAUUUUUCAAUAGAAUUUUAGCUUCAUCCGGUGUUCUUUCCCUGAAAAGAGAACCAGCACAACUAUCCAGGUAAUCUCUGGAAGCAUCGGUUAGUCCAUUAUCAAAGAUAUCAAGUAUUUCAGGUUUCUUAAGAGGAUGAUCAGGCAAAGCAUUAAGUAACUUGAGAAGCCUCCCCCAAGCUUGUGGGAGACUCUCUUCUUCAAUUUGCACGAAGUUAUAUAUUUCCCUCAAGGCUGCUUGUUUCUUAUGAGCAGGGAAAUAUUUAGCAAAAAAGUAAUAAAUCAUAUCCUGGGGACUUUGCACACAACCAGGAUCAAGAGAAUUAAACCAUAUCUUAGCAUCACCCUUUAAUGAGAACGGAAAUAUUUUGAGUAAAUAAAGGUAGCUCGAUCUCUCAUUAUUAGUAAACAGGGCAGUUAUAUCAUUCAACUUAGUAAGAUGUGCCACAACAGUUUCAGAUUCAUAGCCAUAGAAAGGAUCAGAUUCAACCAAAGUAAUUAUAUCUGGAUCAACAGAAAAAUCAUAAUAAUCCUUAUCAGGAACACAAUUAGGUGAAGUAGCAAAAGCAGGGUCAGGUCUCAUUCUAUCUCUAAAAGAUUGUUUACUCCAUUUAACUAGCAACCUCUUAAGUUCAUAUCUAUCCUGGCAAGCAAGGAUAGCUGCAGAAGAUUCUGCAUCAAAAAGAUAACCUCCAGGAAUAGGAGGCAUAUUUUCAUCAUCACUCUCAUCAUUGUAUUCAGGUGCAAUAAUUUCUCUUUCUCUAGACCUAGCAAUUUGCUCAUCAAGAAAUUCACCAAGGGGCACAGUAGUAUCAAGCAUAGAAGUGGUUUCAUCAUAAGUAUCACGCAUAGCAGAAGUGGCAUCAUCAAUAACAUGCGAUAUAUCAGAAUUCAUAACAGUAGCAGGUUUAGGCGUCGCAAGCUUACUCAUAACAGAAGGAGAAUCUAGUGCAAGGCUAGAUGGCAGUUCCUUACCUCCCCUCGUAGUUGAGGGCAAAAUCUUGGUCUUAGCGUCUUUCAAGUUCUUCAUAGUGUCCAGCAGAUAUAAAUCCCAAGUGACUCAAAGAAUAGAGCUAUGCUCCCCGGCAACGGCGCCAGAAAAAGGUCUUGAUAACCCACAAGUAUAGGGGAUCGCAAUAGUUUUCGAGGGUAGAGUAUUCAACCCAAAUUUGUUGAUUCGACACAAGGGGAGCCAAAGAAUAUUCUCAAGUAUUAGCAGCUGAGUUGUCAAUUCAACCACACCUGGAAAUUUAGUAUCUAUAGCAAGGUGUUUAGUAGCAAAGUAAUAUGAUAGUGGUGGUAAUGGUAACAAAAGUAAAUACAGCAAAAGUAAUGUUUUUGGUAUUUUGUAGUGAUUGUAACAAUAAUAAUGGAAAAGUAAAUAAGCGAGAACCAGUAUAUGGAAAACUCAUAGGCACCGGAUCAGUGAUGGAUAAUUAUGUCGGAUGUGGUUCAUUAUGUAACAGUCAUAACAUAGGGUGACGCGGAACUAGCUCCAGUUCAUCAAUGUAAUGUAGGCAUGUAUUCCGAAUAUAAUCAUACGUGCUUAUGGAAAAGAACUUGCAUGACAUCUUUUGUCCUACCCUCCCGUGGCAGCGGGGUCCUAUUGGAAACUAAGGGAUAUUAAGGCCUCCUUUUAAUAGAGAACCGGAACAAAGCAUUAGCACAUAGUGAAUACAUGAACUCCUCAAACUAUGGUCAUCACCGGGAGUGGUUCCGAUUAUUGUCACUUCGGGGUUGCCGGAUCAUAACACAUAGUAGGUGACUAUAGACUUGCAAGAUAGGAUCAAGAACUCACAUAUAUUCAUGAAAACAUAAUAGGUUCAGAUCUGAAAUCAUGGCACUCGGUCCCUAGUGACAAGCAUUAAGCAUAGCAAAGUCAUAGCAACAUCAAUCUCAAAACAUAAUGGAUACUAGGGAUCAAACCCUAACAAAACUAACUCGAUUACAUGAUAAAUCUCAUCCAACCCAUCACCGUCCAGCAAGCCUACGAUGGAAUUACUCACGCACGGAGGUGAGCAUCAUGAAAUUGGUGAUGGAGGAUGGUUGAUGAUGACAACGGCGACGAAUCCCCCUCUCCGGAGCCCCGAACGGACUCCAGAUCAGCCCUCCCAAGAGAUAUUAGGGCUUGGUGGCGGCUCCGUAUCGUAAAACGCGAUGAUUUUUUCUCUCUGAUUUUUUUCUCCCCGAAGGCCAAUAUAUGGAGUUGGAGUUGGCGUCGGAGGGCCACCAGGGGGCCCACGAGGUAGGCGGCACCCCAGGGGGCGCGCCCCCCACCCUCAUGGACAGGGUGUGGGCCCCCUGGUCUUCUUCUUUGGCGAGCAUUUUUUAUUAAUUAUUCUAAGACAUUCCGUGGAGUUUCAGGUCGUUCCGAGAACUUUUAUUUUCUGCACAAAAACAACACCAUGGCAAUUCUGCUGAACAGCGUCAGUCCGAGUUAGUUCCAUUCAAAUCACACAAGUUAGAGUCCAAAACAAGGGCAGAAGUGUUUGGAAAAGUAGAUACGACGGAGACAUAUCACCCCACAAGAUGACUUUUGUCCCGUUGUAUUUGGUAGACCCUUCUUAAAUACUGUUAAUGCUAGAAUCGAUUGCGAAAAGGAUGUUGUCACGAUUGGCUUGGAUGAUAUGACUCAGGAGUUUAAUUUUGCUAAAUUUCGUGGACAACUCCGUGAUAAAGAUUUGUCUAGUAAGGAUGAAAUUAUUGGUCUUGCUUCUAUUGCCGUGCCUCCUACUGAUCCGUUAGAACAAUAUUUGCUAGACCAUGAAAAUGAUAUGUUAUGAAUGAAAGAAUGGAAAUAGUUAAAGUGUUCCUUCAACAGGGUCCUAUUCUGAAACACAACUUACCUGUUGAAAUCCUAGGGGAUCCCCCUUCACCCAAGGGUGAUCCCGUGUUUGAGCUCAAACCUUUACCUAGUAAUCUUAAAUAUGCUUAUCUUGAUGAAAAGAAGAUAUAUCCUGUUAUUAUUAGCACUAACCUUUCAGAGCAAGAAGAGGAAAGAUUAUUGAAAACUCUGAAGAAGCACCGUGCUGCUAUUGGAUAUACUCUAGAUGAUCUUAAGGGCAUUAGUCCCACUCUAUGCCAACAUAUAAUUAAAUUGGACGAAGGUUCCUAACUAGUUAGAGAUCAUCAAUGACGGUUAAAUCCUAAGAUGAAAGAAGUGCUAAGAAAUGAGAUACUAAAGCUCCUUGAGGCAGGUAUAAUUUAUCCCGUUGCUAAUAGUGAUUGGGUAAGUCCUAUCCAUUGCAUUCCUAAGAAGGGAGGAAUUACUGUUGUUCCUAAUGAUAAAGAUGAAUUGAUUCCGCAAAGAAUUAUUACAGGUUAUAGGAUGGUAAUCAAUUUCCGUAAACUAACUAAAGCUACUAAGAAAGAUCAUUACCCUUUACAUUUUAUUGAUCAAAUGCUAGAAAGACUAUCCAAACAUACACAUUUCUUCUUUCUAGAUGGUUAUUCUGGUUUGUCUCAAAUACCUGUGUCGGCGGAGGAUCAAUCAAAAACUACUUUUACUUGCCAUUUCGGUACUUUUGCUUAUAGACGUAUGCCGUUUGGUUUAUGUAAUGCACCUGCUACCUUUCAAAGAUGCAUGAUGGCUAUAUUCUCUGACUUUUGUAAAAAGAUUUGUCAGAUAUUCAUGGAUGACUUCUCCGUUUAUGGAUCCUCUUUUGAUGAUUGCUUGAGCAACCUUGAUCGAGUUUUGCAGAGAUGUGAAGACACUAGUCUUGUCUUGAAUUGGGAAAAGUGUCACUUCAUGGUUAAUGAAGGCAUUGUCUUGGGGCAUAAAAUUUCUGAAAAAGGUAUUGAUGUUGAUAGAGCUAAAGUUGAUGCUAUUGAAAAGAUGUCAUGUCCCAAGGACAUUAAAGGUAUAAGAAGUUUCCUUGGCAUGCCGGUUUUUAUAGGAGGUUCAUUAAGGACUUUUCUAAAAUCUCUAGGCCUCUGACUAAUUUAUUGCAAAAAGAUAUUCCUUUUUUCUUUGAUGAUGAUUGUGUAGAAGCAUUUGAAAUACUUAAGAAAGCUUUUAUCACUGCACCUAUCAUUCAGCCACCUGAUUGGAAUUUACCCUUUGAAAUUAUGUGUGAUGCUAGCGAUUAUGCUGUAGGUGUUGUUCUAGGGCAAAGAGUUGAUAAGAAAUUAAAUGCUAUCCAGUAUGCUAGUAAAACUCUUGAUACUGCCCAAAGAAAUUAUGCUACUACUAAAAAAGAAUUCUUAGCGGUUGUAUUUGCAUGUGAUAAGUUCAGACCUUAUAUUGUUGAUUCUAAAGUAACUAUUCACACUGAUCAUGCUACAAUUAAAUAUCUUAUGGAAAAGAAAGAUGCUAAACCUAGACUUAUUAGAUGGGUCCUCUUGCUCCAAGAAUUUGAUUUGCAUAUUAAUGAUAGAAAGGGAGCUGAGAACCCCGUUGCAGACAACUUGUCUAGGUUAGAGAAUGUUCUUGAUGACCCACUACCUAUUGAUGAUAGCUUUCCUGAUGAACAAUUAGCGGUCAUUAAUGCUUCUCGUACUGCUCCAUGGUAUGCUAAUUAUGCUAAUUACAUUGUUGAUAAAUUUAUACCACCUAGUUUCACAUACCAGCAAAAGAAAGAGUUCUUUUAUGAUUUAAGACAUUACUUCUGGGAUGACCCACACAUUUAUAAAGAAGGAGUAGAUGGUGUUAUUAGACGUUGUGUACCUGAGCAUGAACAGGAACAGAUCCUACGCAUGUGUCACUCCGAACCAUAUUGAGGACACCACGCUGGAGAUAGAACUGCACAUAAGGUAUUGCAAUCUGGUUUUUAUUGGCCUACUCUCUUCAAAGAUGCCCGUAAGUUUGUCUUGUCUUGUGAUGAAUGUCAAAGAAUUGGUAAUAUUAGUAGACGUCAAGAAAUGACUAUGAAUUAUUCUCUUGUUAUUGAACCAUUUGAUGUUUGGGGCUUUGAUUAUAUGGGACCUUUUCCUGCCUCCAAUGGAUACACACAUAUUUUAGUUGUUGUCGAUUACGUUACUAAGUGGGUAGAAGCUAUUCCAACUAGUAGUGUUGAUCAUAACACCUCUAUUAAGAUGCUUAAAGAAGUUAUUUUUCCGAGGUUUGGAGUCCCUAGAUAUCUCAUGAAUGAUGGUGGUUCACAUUUUAUUCAUGGUGCCUUCCGUAAAAUGCUUGCUAAAUAUGAUGUUAAUCAUAGAAUUGCAUCUUCUUAUCACCCACAGUCUAGUGGUCAAGUAGAAUUUAGUAAUAGAGGGCUAAAAUUAAUUUUGCAAAAGACUGUUAAUAGAUCUAGAAAGAAUUGGUCCAAGAAACUUGAUGAUGCAUUAUGGGCCUAUAGAACUGCAUAUAAAAAUCCUAUGGGUAUAUCUCCGUAUAAGAUGGUUUAUGGAAAAGCAUGUCACUUACCUCUUGAACUUGAACAUAAGGCAUAUUGGGCCAUUAAAGAGCUCAACUAUGAUUUCAAACUUGCCGGUGAGCAUAUUUGACAUUAGCUCACUUGAUGAAUGGAGAACCCAAUCCUAUGAGAAUGCCAAUCUGUUUAAAGAUGGCAUGAUAAAAGGAUACAAAAGCGUGAGUUUAACGUAGGUGAUUAUGUGUUGCUAUUCAACUCUCGUUUAAGAUUUUUUGCAGGAAAACUUCUCUCUAAAUGGGAAGGUCCUUACAUUAUCGAGGAGGUCUAUCGUUCCGGUGCCAUAAAAAUCAACAACUUCGAAGGCACAAAUCCGAGGGUGGUGAACGGUCAAAGAAUCAAACAUUAUAUCUCAGGUAACCCUAUAAAUGUUGAAACUAAUAUUAUUGAAACCGUAACCCCGGAGGAAUACAUAAGGGACACUUUCCAGAACGUUUCAGACUCCGAAAAGGAAUAGGUAUGUGGUACGGUAAGUAAACCGACUCCAAAACAAUUCUAAUGGCAAUUUUCCUCCGUUUUGGAAUAUUUAAAAAAAUUGGAAGCAAGAAGUAAUCUAGGAAGGACACGAGGCCUCCACGAGGGUGGAGGGCGUGCCCCCUGUCUCGUGGGCUCCUCGUGUGCCUCCCGGACUCUGUUUUCUUGCAUGUUACUUCUUUUGGUCGGUAAAAAUUCAUUAUAUAAUCUCCCGAAGGUUUUGACCACCGUAUCACGCAAAAAUCUUAUGUCUUUGUUUCGAGCUGUUUUUCUGACAGAUCUAGGGCACCAUGACGUCUCCAAGUGCUCCCAAGAACAAGUUUUUUGAGAGGGUUAUCAACCCCUAUCUUGCGGAGGUGCUACAACACCCUCAAACCAUUGAGAUGCGUGAGGGGGUGCUGCACAUCCGCGAUGUGGAGGGACCCAGGUGUACCGGAAGCGUGGAGACAAAGCUCAAAGCUAUGGAACAGCAAGUUUUCAAGUGUCAAUAGAUGGUGGAGCGUGGACUCAACGCCAACCAGAUGAUGAUCACGGAGUUCACCAACAACCACAAGCUGGAUGCCAAGGACAUUGGGGAGACCAUAUUCAAGCUUCAUGAGAAAAUCGAGCAUCUCCAAGCCCAGAUCUAUGACCUGCAAAACCAAAACUGUGAGUAUGAAUAUAGAUUCAAGAGGAUGAGUUUGGCUGCAGAUUUGAGGAUCCCGGAGACUCGAUCAUCCUUCUAUGAUGGUGAGCCUAUGCCUUGGAAGACGGACGACAAGCCUACAUCAUCAACAACUCCUUCUUCACCGCCUCCAAGGACAUAAUCACAUGGGUAUGGGCACUCCCCUUGGCAACUGCCAAGCUUGGGGGAGGUGCCCCGGUAUCGUAUCACCAUCACACUCCUAUCUUUACAGUUUUUCUUAGUUUGAUCCUUUUGGUAAUAUCUAGAUCUAGUAGAAUAAAGUUUUGGUUUGAAUUAGCUUUGAGUUUUGCUUUGUGAUCCUUCUAUGUAAUCGAGUCCGUGAGUUAUAUAUAAUAAAGAUUAGUGUUGAGUCCAGGGCUUUGCUAUCUUGCUAUGAUCUUGAGAAAAAUAGAAAGAAUAAAAAGAAUAUAAUAGUUCAUAUUGACCUUAUGAUAAUAAUGACUUCACAUAUAAAGAGUAUGAGGCUUAAAAGUUGUUGAGAGUUGACAAACAUAGUUUUGGUCAUCGUUGCAAUUAAUAGGAAGUAAUAAGGAAAGAGAGGUUUUCACAUAUAAAUAUACUAUCUUGGACAUCUUUUAUACUCCCUGCGUUCGGAAUUACUUGUCAUAGAAAUGGAUGUAUCUAGAUGUAUUUUAGUUCUAGAUACAUCCAUUUCCGAGACAAGUAAUUCCGAACGGAGGGAGUAAUUGUGAGCACUCAUUAAAGUAUGACAUGCUAAAGAGUUGAUGUUGGACAAGGAAGACAACGUAAUGGUUUAUGUUUUCUCACAUCCCAGUUAAAGUAUAUUGUCAUGGAUCAUUCAACAUGUUGAGCUUGCCUUUCCCCCUCAUGCUAGCCAAAAAUUCCUAGCACCAAGUAGAGAUACUACUUGUGCUUCCAAAUAUCCUUAAACCCAGUUUUGCCAUGAGAGUCCACCAUAUCUACCUAUGGAUUGAGUAAGAUCCUUCAAGUAAGUUGUCAUCGGUGCAGGCAAUAAAAAUUGCUCUCUAAAUAUGCAUGACUUAUUAGUGCGGAGAAAAUAAGCUUUAUACGAUCUUGUUAUGGAAGCAAUAAAAGCGACGGACUGCAUAAUAAAGGUCCAUAUACAAGUGGCAAUAUAAAGUGACGUUCUUUUGCAUUAAGAUUUUGUGUAUCCAACCCUAAAAGCGCAUGAUAACCUCUGCUUCCCUCUGCGAAGGGCCUAUCUUUUACUUUAUGUCUUUUACUUUAUGCAAGAGUCAAGGUGAUCUCCACCUUUCCCUUUUUCAUUUUAUCCUUUGGCAAGCACCUCGUGUUGGAAAGAUCCUGAUACAUAUAUCCAAUUGGAUGUUCGUUAGCAUGAACUAUUAUUGUUGACAUCACCCAAAGGUGAAUACGUUGGGAGGCAACACUAUAAGUCCCUAUCUUUCUCAGUGUCCGAUUAAAACUUCAUAACCAUAAGUAUUGUGUGAGUGUUAGCAAUUGUAGAAGACUAUAUGAUAGUUGAGUAUGUGGACUUGCUGAAAAGCUCUAUUCUUGACUCUUUCUGAUGUUAUGAUAAAUUGCAAUUGCUUUAAUGACUGAGAUUAUAGUUUGUUAGUUUUCAAUGAAGUUUCUGAACCAUACUUGACAUUGUGAAUAGAUUGUUACUUAAGAAUAAGAAAUCAUAUGACAAAAUCUAUAUAUGUUGCAGUUAUAAGAAUGAUCAUGAUGCCCUCAUGUCCGUAUUUUAUUUUUUAUUGACACCUCUAUCUCUAAGCAUGUGGACAUAUUUCUCGAUAUCGGCUUCCGCUUGAGGACAAGCGAGGUCUAAGCUUGGGGGAGUUGAUACGUCCAUUUUGCAUCAUGCUUUUAUAUCAAUAUUUAUUGCAUUAUGGGCUGUUAUUACACGUUAUGUCACAAUACUUAUGGAUAUUCUCUCUUAUUUUACAAGGUUUAUCGUGAAGAGGGAGAAUGCCGGCAGCUGGGAUUCUGGCUGGAAAAGGGAGCAAAUAUUGGAAACCUAUUCUGCACAGCUCCAAAAUACCUGCAACUCCAAGAAAGUCAUUUUUGGAUUUAAUAAGAAUUAUUGGGCAAAUAAAAUACCUAAGGGGGCCCACACCCUGGCCAGGAGGGUGGGGGUGCCCCCCCCCUACUCGGGGCGCCCCCUGUUUCCUGGGCCCCCUGGUGGCCCUCCGGUGCCCAUCUUCUGCUAUCUGAGGUCUUUUACCCUAAAAAAAAUCAUAAGCACGCUCACGAGACGAAACUCCAUCGCCACGAGGCGGAACCUUGGCAGAACCAAUCUAGGGCUCCGAUGGAGCUGUUCUGUCGGGGAAACUUCCCUCCGGGAGGGGGGAAUCAUCACCAUCAUCAUCAUCAACGAUCCUCUCAUCAGGAGGGGGUCAAUCUCCAUCAACAUAUUCACCAGCACCAUCUCCUCUCAAACCCUAGUUCAUCUCUUGUACCAAUCUUGUAUCCAAAACCACAAAUUGGUACCUGUGGGUUGCUAAUAGUGUUGAUUACUCCUUGUAGUUGAUGCUAAUUGGUUUACUUGGUGGAAGAUCAUAUGUUCAGAUCCUUUAUGCAGAUUAAUACCCCUCUGAUUAUGAACAUGAAUAUGCUUUGUGAGUAGUUCCGUUUGUUCCUGAGGACAUGGGUGAAGUCUUGCUAUUAGUAGUCAUGUGAAUUUGGUAUUCGUUCGAUAUUUUGAUGAGAUGUAUGUUGUCUCUCCUCUAGUGGUGUUAUGUGAAUGUCGACUACAUGACACUUCACCAUUAUUUGGGCCUAGAGGAAGGCAUUGGAAAGUAAUAAGUAGAUGAUGGGUUGCUAGAGUGACAGAAGCUUAAACCCUAGUUUAUGCGUUGCUUCAUAAGGGGCUGAUUUGGAUCCAUUAGUUUCAUGCUAUGGUUAGGUUUAGCUUAAUACUUAUUUUGUAGUUGCGGAUGCUUGCAAUAGGGGUUAAUCAUAAGUGGGAUGCUUGUCCAAGAAAGGGCAGUACCCAAGCACCGGUCCACCCACAUAUCAAAUUAUCAAAGUAAUUAACGCGAAUCAUAUGAGCAUGAUGAAACUAGCUUGACGAUAAUUCCCAUGUGUCCUCGGGAGCAUUUUUCUCAUUAUAAGAAAUUGUCCAAGCUUGUCCUUUGCUACAAAAAGGAUUGGGCCACCUUGCUGCACCUUAUUUAGUUUCAUUGCUUGUUACCCGUUACAAAUUAUCUUAUCACAAAACUAUCUAUUACCUAUAAUUUCAGUGCUUGCAGAGAAUACCUUACUGAAAACCGCUUGUCAUUUCCUUCUGCUCCUCGUUGGGUUCGACACUCUUACUUACCGAAAGGACUACGAUAGAUCCCCUAUACUUGUGGGUCAUCAAGACUCUUUUCUGGCGCCGUUGCCGGGUAGUGAAGCGCCUUUGGUGAGUGGAACUUGGUAAGGAAACAUUUAUAUAGUGUGCUGAAAUUUUCUUUCACUUGUUACUAUGGAAACUAAUCCUUUGAGGGGAUUGUUCGGGGCAUCGUCACCCCGACCAGUAGAGCAAAGAGUUGCUCCUCAACCUACUGAACCUACUGAAAAUGUUCACUUCAAAAUUCCUUCGAGUAUGAUAGAGAAACUGCUAGCUAAUCCCUUUGCAUCCCGGUUUACACCUUAUCUUUGUAGAUGAAGUUUGUGGAUUACUUAAGCUUGCAGGUAUUCCCGAUGAUGUUGUCAAGAGGAAGGUCUUUCCUCUAUCUUUGAGUGGAGACGCAUUGACAUGGUAUAGGCUAUGUGAUGAUACGGGAUCUUGGAAUUAUAAACAAUUGAAGUUGGAAUUUCACCAGAAGUUCUAUCCUAUGCAUAUUGUUCAUCGUGAUCGUAAUUACGUAUAUAACUUCUAGCCUCGCGAAGGAGAAAGCAUUUCUCAAGCUUGGGGGAGGCUUAAGUCAAUGUUAUAUUCAUUCCCCAAUCAUGAGCUCUCAAGAGAAAUGAUUAUUCAAAAAAUUUAUGCUCGGCUUUCUCUCAAUGAUCGCACCAUGCUCGAUACUUCCUGUGCGAGUUCUUAUAUGUUGAAGACUACUGAAUUCAAGUGGAAUUUAUUGGAAAGAAUUAAACGCAACUCUGAAGAUUGGGGUUCCGACGAUGGUAAGGAGUCAGGUAUGACACUUAAGUUUGAUUGUGUUAAAUCUUUUAUGGAUACCGAUGCUUUUCGUGGAUUUAGCGCUAAAUAUGGACUUGACUCUGAGAUAGUAGCUUCUUUCUGUGAAUCUUUUUCUACUCACGUUGAUCUCCCUAAGGAGAAGUGGUAUAAAUAUAAUCCUCCCAUUGAAGUAAAAGUAGUUGCACCUAUUACAGUUGAAGAAAAGACUAUCACUUAUAAUGAUCCUAUUGUUCCUACUACUUUUGUUGAGACACCAUCUUUUCCUGUUAGAAUACCCCUCUGACUAUGCAUAUUAAUACCCCUCUGAUUAUGAACAUGAAUAUGCUUUGUGAGUAGUUCCAUUUGUUCCUGAGGACCUGGAUGAAGUCUUGCUAUUAGUAGUCAUGUGAAUUUGGUAUUCGUUCGAUAUUUUGAUGAGAUGUAUGUUGUCUCUCCUCUAGUGGUGUUAUGUGAACGCUACAUGACACUUCACCAUUAUUUGGGCCUAGAGGAAGGCAUUGGGAAGUAAUAAGUAGAUGAUGGGUUGCUAGAGUGACAGAAGCUUAAACCUUAGCUUAUGCGUUGCUUCGUAAGGGGCUGAUUUGGAUCCAUUAGUUUUAUGCUAUGGUUAGGUUUACCUUAAUACUUAUUUUGUAGUUGCGGAUGCUUGCAAUAGGGGUUAAUAAUAAGUGGGAUGCUUGUCCAAGAAAGGGCAGUACCCAAGCACCGGUCCACCCACAUAACAAAUUAUCAAAGUAACGAACGCGAAUCAUAUGAGCGUGAUAAAACUAACUUGGCAAUAAUUCCCAUGUGUCCUCGGGGGCGCUUUUCUCAUUAUAAGAAAUUGUCCAGGCUUUUCUCGCGUCCUUCCUUUUUUUUGUGCACCAAACUACUUUCAUUUGAUCGCCGAACUGUGGCACUGACGCCGAACUAUUGCGAUGAUCGCCGGAUUGUGGCUUUUUUUUUGGAGCGGGAACGAUCGAGUUUGAAUAUGGGCCGCGUGUCGGGCGCCUUGGGAGGCGGCACCUGGGGGCGUGGCUAGGGCCUUAGUCGCCCCCAGGGUCUAAAAAUCGCCGGCUGGACGCCCGAAAAUGCGCCGACCUAUGCGCUGGGGGGCCGAACGAGUGGAGAUGCUCUUAGACAUUUGGUACUAUCCCUGGAAGAAGGGGAAGUUCUCUUCCAUGCAACUGUACAAGUGGAUUCACAAAGGCAACUCUGCUACAAUGCUCAGAUACAAAAUCUUCUUUCGGCUGCUGCUGUAUGAUCGAGUUAACUCCAGGAACCUGCUCCAAAGGAAAAAAUUUAUUCCUCCUAUCCUACCUCUGUGAGAUGUGUCGUUCCAACACUGAAGAAACUGCUCUCCAUUUGUUCUGGGAUUGUGCUUUUGCUCUAGAAUGUUGGAACUCCAUUAUUCCCACUAGAAGAAGAGGCAUUUNNNNNNNNNNNNNNNNNNNNNNNNNNNNNNNNNNNNNNNNNNNNNNNNNNNNNNNNNNNNNNNNNNNNNNNNNNNNNNNNNNNNNNNNNNNNNNNNNNNNNNNNNNNNNNNNNNNNNNNNNNNNNNNNNNNNNNNNNNNNNNNNNNNNNNNNNNNNNNNNNNNNNNNNNNNNNNNNNNNNNNNNNNNNNNNNNNNNNNNNNNNNNNNNNNNNNNNNNNNNNNNNNNNNNNNNNNNNNNNNNNNNNNNNNNNNNNNNNNNNNNNNNNNNNNNNNNNNCAAUGGAUAUUUUCAUCAUGUAAUAGCAUCUGUUGAUUUACACAGCCCAAAAAAUGUUGCUCCAUUGUUAAUUUCUUUGUAACUCUCUGCCUCAUAAUCAUUUCCAAUGAAUCUCAAGGAGUGGUGGAGCUGACAUAGUGCAGUAUUUGUUAGCUUGUUGAUUCUACAAGAGUCUGCCUACGAGUUUCAUGAUUCAUCUGAACUCAGGUUCAAAUUUGUUGGGAUCUCUGAAUUCUUGGGAUCACAUCGUUCGUUAUCUGAAGAUUUCCAGUUUCAUAUAAAGGAUAGGAUAGAAUUCCAGUAAGACAUGACACAUAUUCUCUACAAGUGUGACAUUUUUGCAGAGCUACAUGCAAAAGUGCUUACAUAUCAUGACACACUGAAAUUACAUGCAUCACUGACAGGAAAAUCAACAUUUCUCCCAUUCCUCCAUAUAAACCAGGCGGGAUAAUAGAUACUUAUAUAACAAAACUAUAAUGCGGUCUUUGCAAAUGAAGCCCUGCCA
This 41783-nucleotide long non-coding RNA is filed under the name Triticum aestivum (bread wheat). RNAcentral's name for it is "long non-coding RNA (TAES_LNC009773)". The stretch from base 36097 to 36211 matches the Rfam family "MIR1120/MIR1122 microRNA precursor family". Lineage: Eukaryota; Viridiplantae; Streptophyta; Magnoliopsida; Poales; Poaceae. The record is from RNAcentral.